AUGAAAGUUUCUUCAUUACUAUUGAACGAUUGGUUCUCUAGUCUCUAAUUGCAACUUGUUUUACCGCUAAUUGAGUGAAUGGUUCUUGCACUCUAGCAAUUGUCAUCCAGUUUUUCGUCUUUGGACAUUUCACAAUGAUAUUGGGUUUAAAUUGAUACCACCAAAUGUAUUUGUCUUCAUCGAUUUCUGUUCUGCCUAACAAUCAAUUUGAGGUUUCAUCGAUAUCCUGGUCCAACACUCAGAUCUCAGAUAUGAAAGGAUCUUCCACCAAGAGGGGAGUGAGAAGAAGGUCUGAUUAUUUGCUGAAAUGAAGCAACUGUUUGACCUGGAUGCAACUCUUUUAUCAGAGAUUUCCGUCAUGUUCAAGGCAUUUUACAUUUGCUGAAUCUACAAAGCUUAGGAGAAUGGGAGCAGCAAAUGGGAACGUAUGUAAAAGUUACAUUUGAUUUAAAUGAAGCAGGGUGUGGCUGCUGACCUGGGAAGUGAACCUGUUUGAAUUUUAUUCUCAAGCUUGUUGUUUUCCCUUGGAUUAUAUAUGUGGAAAUAGUGACUUGUAUUUGGAUAAUUUGUAUGAUAUAGUUAAUAUAUAAAGAUUUUUUUUACUUUAG
This 608-nucleotide long non-coding RNA is filed under the name Helianthus annuus (common sunflower). Lineage: Eukaryota; Viridiplantae; Streptophyta; Magnoliopsida; Asterales; Asteraceae. The record is from RNAcentral.